AUUGAACGCUGGCGGCAUGCCUAACACAUGCAAGUCGAGCGGAGCGGCGGACGGGUGAGUAAUGACUAGUAAUCUGCCUGGUAGCGAGUGAUAACGUACGACAACUGGCGAUAAUACCGCAUACUUUCAGUUGAGCCUAGGACGGAUUAGCUAGUUGGUGGGGUAAAGGCCUACCAAGGCGACGAUCCGUAACUGGUCUGAGAGGAUGAUCAGUCACACUGGAACUGAGACACGGCCCAGACUCCUACGGGAGGCAGCAGUGGGGAAUUUUGGACAAUGGGCGAAAGCCUGAUCCAGCCAUGCCGCGUGUGUGAAGAAGGCCUUCGGAUUGUAAAGCACUUUUAGUUGGGAGGCGGUACCUACAGAAUAAGCACCGGCUAACUCCGUGCCAGCAGCCGCGGUAAUAC
Molecule: ribosomal RNA, 407 nt
Filed under: uncultured bacterium
Lineage: Bacteria
Description: partial 16S ribosomal RNA
Rfam family: Bacterial small subunit ribosomal RNA
Source: RNAcentral